RNAcentral lists this transfer RNA (75 nucleotides) under Chlorobium chlorochromatii CaD3. RNAcentral describes it as "tRNA-Glu (TTC) (tRNA-Glu-TTC-1-1)". It matches the Rfam family "tRNA". From Rfam's summary of the family: Transfer RNA (tRNA) molecules are approximately 80 nucleotides in length. RNAcentral also lists the same sequence under 1 other name. Lineage: Bacteria; Pseudomonadati; Chlorobiota; Chlorobiia; Chlorobiales; Chlorobiaceae. The record is from RNAcentral.
GGCCCCAUCGACUAGUGGUUAGGUCAUCACCCUUUCAAGGUGGUAGCACGGGUUCGAAUCCCGUUGGGGUCACCA